GACGAAUGCUGGCGGCGUGCUUAACACAUGCAAGUCGAACGGAAAGGCCCUGCUUGCAGGGUACUCGAGUGGCGAACGGGUGAGUAACACGUGGGUGAUCUGCCCUCCACUUCGGGAUAAGCCUGGGAAACUGGGUCUAAUACCGGAUAGGAGCCAUUUUUAGUGCGGUUGGUGGAAAGUUUUUUCGGUCGAGGAUGAGCUCGCGGCCUAUCAGCUUGUUGGUGGGGUAAUGGCCUACCAAGGCGGCGACGGGUAGCCGGCCUGAGAGGGUGGACGGCCACAUUGGGACUGAGAUACGGCCCAGACUCCUACGGGAGGCAGCAGUGGGGAAUAUUGCACAAUGGGCGCAAGCCUGAUGCAGCGACGCCGCGUGGGGGAUGACGGCCUUCGGGUUGUAAACUCCUUUCGCUAGGGACGAAGCUUUUGUGACGGUACCUAGAUAAGAAGCACCGGCUAACUACGUG
This 464-nucleotide ribosomal RNA is filed under the name uncultured bacterium. RNAcentral describes it as "partial 16S ribosomal RNA". It matches the Rfam family "Bacterial small subunit ribosomal RNA", at positions 28 to 507 of the family's 1533-position model. The record is from RNAcentral.